Molecule: ribosomal RNA, 728 nt
Filed under: uncultured Gammaproteobacteria bacterium
Lineage: Bacteria; Pseudomonadati; Pseudomonadota; Gammaproteobacteria
Description: bacterial SSU rRNA
Rfam family: Bacterial small subunit ribosomal RNA
Source: RNAcentral
AGAGUUUGAUCCUGGCUCAGAUUGAACGCUGGCGGCAGGCCUAACACAUGCAAGUCGAGCGAGAAAGGUCUUCGGACUGAGUACGGCGGCGGACGGGUGAGUAACGCGUAGGAAUCUACCCGGUAGUGGGGGACAACUUGGGGAAACCCAAGCUAAUACCGCAUACGCCCUAUGGGGGAAAGCGGGGGACCUUCGGGCCUCGCGCUAUCGGAUGAGCCUGCGUAGGAUUAGCUUGUUGGUGAGGUAAAGGCUCACCAAGGCGACGAUCCUUAGCUGGUCUGAGAGGAUGAUCAGCCACACUGGGACUGAGACACGGCCCAGACUCCUACGGGAGGCAGCAGUGGGGAAUAUUGCGCAAUGGGCGAAAGCCUGACGCAGCCAUGCCGCGUGUGUGAAGAAGGCCUUCGGGUUGUAAAGCACUUUCAAUUGGGAAGAAAGGUUGCGUGUUAAUAGCACGUAGCUGUGACGUUACCUUUAGAAGAAGCACCGGCUAACUCCGUGCCAGCAGCCGCGGUAAUACGGAGGGUGCGAGCGUUAAUCGGAAUUACUGGGCGUAAAGCGCGCGUAGGCGGUUUGUUAAGUCGGAUGUGAAAUCCCCGGGCUCAACCUGGGAAUUGCCUUCGAUACUGGCCGACUAGAGUACGAGAGAGGGAGGUAGAAUUCCACGUGUAGCGGUGAAAUGCGUAGAUAUGUGAGGAAUACCGGUGGCGAAGGCGGCCUCCUGGCUC